UUUUUAAUUCCGCCUGUAGCUCCUACGGGGGUUACUGCCGGUCGCAAGCCCGGAUAAAGGAGGAGGGUUGG
Molecule: non-coding RNA, 71 nt
Filed under: Schistosoma mansoni
Lineage: Eukaryota; Metazoa; Platyhelminthes; Trematoda; Strigeidida; Schistosomatidae
Source: RNAcentral